GCCCCGCUCUUCCUCCUGCUGGCCAAGCGCGCCGCGCGCCACCGGCCCCGCUCCUCUUCCCCAUCUCAGCCAUGCGCGCAGCCGCUCCCGCGCAUGCUUCCUCCUCCUGCCAUGCGCGCCGCCGCCCCGCGCCUCCAUGGCUCCAUCCUCCUCCUAGCACGCGCGCUGCCGUCCCCAUGCAUCCUUCCUCCUCCUAGCAUGCGUGCCUCCGUCCCCGCGCCUCCCUCCUCCAAGCACGCCCCACCCCCUUCCCCCUCCCGGCAUGCGCGCCGCCACCCCGACCUUCCUCCCGCACUCACCGUCGCUCGCUCCCAUCUCCUCCCUGCUUCCAUAGCCGCCCCGCCCCUAUCUUCCCCAGCUUCGGCCGCCGCGCCGCACGUAUAUCCCUAAGCUCCGGCCGCCGCAGCGCCCCAUCUCCCCUCGCUCCCACACCACCACGCCAUCUCCUCCCGGUGGGGCUCCGCCGCCGAAGCGAUCUGGCCGUUCACAGCCACCACCCCUGUCCGUUCACCUGUACAAGAUGACCAGGCCGAGGAGGUGUCAAAGAAAGAGCUAAGUGAUCUAGUAGAGUUCAUUUAUUGAAGGUGUUCACCUUUUGUGUGAUUAUCAGUUCACAUUUGGUGUGAUUUUCUGUUCAACAGGCUUACUAUUUCAUCAUCAGGAUGCAGCAAAAAAGCAAGGUUCACAAGUUCAUCUUCUGGAUGCUUUUCAGUACAUCUACUUCCCGUUGGAGCGCCCUAGCCGAUCACAGCCACCACAGCAGGCCGUUCAACGCCACCUCCGCAGGCGGUUCAUCGCAAAAACAGCGACCUGAUUCCCGCUGGUUCUCACCAGCAAUGCCCAUUCGAGCACGUCAUCGCUCUCCUGCUGCAGCAUGGCUCAGCUACUGCACUUGGUGGAGUACAUGAGUUGGAUUGACGAGGAAGAUGCAUUCUGGGUAUAUCAAAGCCUGCUGGAGGAGUCACGGGGUUGAGGACCUCCCGCUUAACAAUACAACUUCUUGUUUUGUGGCCGGUCGCUCAAGGAGCUGAGUGCAGGCCGCAGAAAAAACAAUUUGUCGGGUUUUUGGUGGCCAAGUAUUAUUGAUAUGGAGAUGAAUAACUAUGCGGAUGCGCUCCUGUGGUUUUUCUGGAAAAAACAAGAUGCCAUGUUUUACUUUAUGAGCUUUCCAAUUUGCAUACUUCAAAGUUGCUGCUUGCUCCCACCCGUGAAUUGCGCAAUUUCAAUGGGUGUCGUCGAGCAUGUUUGGAAGUAUGCCCUUCAUGCAAAAGUGUGAAGUUUUGUCAGUAUUUUGUAUAUUUCAUUUGACAAAGGCUUCAUGUGAUCUUAUGAAGCUUUAUAGAUGUACUGCAAUUACACUUUUAAGGCCCUACAGUUCAUUAUAUCAUACAUGUGUGUCCGUUCAAUAUGUAUUACAUGAUCAGUUCUUGGAAAAGAAGAACA
Long non-coding RNA from Triticum aestivum (bread wheat), 1443 nucleotides. RefSeq lists it as uncharacterized. NCBI's taxonomy places the organism in Eukaryota, Viridiplantae, Streptophyta, Magnoliopsida, Poales, Poaceae. The record is from RefSeq and is a predicted model, not a curated record. The transcript has 6 exons.